This is a long non-coding RNA of Bactrocera neohumeralis, 4007 nucleotides long. RefSeq lists it as uncharacterized. The record is from RefSeq and is a predicted model, not a curated record. NCBI's taxonomy places the organism in Eukaryota, Metazoa, Arthropoda, Insecta, Diptera, Tephritidae. The transcript has 3 exons.
GUGACGGUUGUUGCGGUUAGCUCACCAUUGGAGGUGAGCUGAACACUGUACUGAAUAUAUAACGAAGUGAUGGCUGAGGGCGGGGUAAGGCGCAGGCGGCGUUUGGCAGGUAAGGCAGAUGUAAAAUGAAAUGAGAUGAGUGGAGGAGCUUGACAUGCAAGUUGAGCUUGAGGUUAAGAUUGUGAGGUAGAGGUGAGCAUGAGGUAGAGGUGAGUGUAUGUAGCGGCGUUGUGUUGUGCGCGGUGGAGUGGGGUCGCUUUAGCGGAUAUGAGUAUAUGGGGCAAUCAAGUUGGAGACUCAACGACGCUCGGGUAAUCAGUCAGCUGUAGUAAUUGUCGAAGCCCCACCGCAGUGCAGCUCCCACAAGCUGACAAAUAUGAGCCGCAGGUAACGUGUAACUAAUUUCUCUAAAUGUCAACACACACACACACACACACAUUGAUGGGCAUGGCAUGUUGGUGCUUUCAGUUGGCAACACGUAUGAAUCCACAAAAGCGUUGAAAGCGCAUCAAUCCGAACCGGGUUGGAUUCGUUCACUAGUAAGCAGCAAGAGCGUGGGUGUUGGGUGUUGGAGGGAAAGGCGUCUAAAGCAUGGCGGCGUACGUGUCGCUGUGCAUACAUACGUGAAAAGUUCUAGUGUUGAGUAGUUGUUGUCUGGGUGUGGGUCAACAGCGUUUAUCUUGAUUUGCCGCAGCAUUCGCGGCAGCCGCAAACAACAAAAGCCGAGCCAAGCUACAUAAAAUCGCUGAAGCAGAACAACACAACGAAUUAUUACGUGCAAACCACAUAAAAAGUAAUUAUAUUAUUAGAACUUGACGAAACGAAAGCAGCGCGCUGCUCUGUGACAUGGAAAAUUUCUUGGUGACUUAACCCAUUCAGUUCAUACCGUUCAGACAUAAUUGAGUAAUUGUAGCGAAAAUGUACUUGAAAUAAUGUUGAAAAGCGUACAAAUGUAUCCAAUGACGAUAAGCAACAAGAUGGACAGCCUUGUAAUGGCAUGAGACUUACUUGAGCUUUUACGGAUCCGUAUCGAAAUGUCUCAAGCAACAUGUGGUACUAAAAAUUUGAAUAGAGCUCCACAUGAACUGUAACGACAUAUGAAAAGGAUUCACUCCUAAUCUGACACAUAAAGAGUGAUCCAUUUCGAUGUUCUUUACUUUUUAAAGAAAAAACACCCAGACUUCAGAUUUAAUGGGGCAAUGUUUAGUAUGAUUCGAAAGAACAUUCUUUGGCAUUCAUUUUUUGAAAAUUAUCUCUUUCAAAUGUUGACCGCGGCUACGUCUCAGAUGGUCCAGCCAUUGAGUCUAAACUUCGAUGACUCUUUCAAGCAUUUUGACUGGUAACUGGCGAGUGACAUGCGUGAUCUUCUGUUCCAAGGCCUGAAUUGAAGCGGUAUUGUCCGCAUAGACUUUAGACUUUACAUAUCCCUACAGAAAGAAAUCUAACAGUGUGAUAACGCACGAUGUUGGUGGGCAAUCGACCGGCUCAAAAUGUGAAAUUAUCUGCUCACCCAAGUGUUCUCUCAAUAAAUCCAUUGAUUGCUGCAGUGUGUGAGAAGUGGUGCCGUCUUGUUGAAAGCAAAUGUCGCCGAGAUCACGAGCUUUAAUUUCAGGAUUCAAAGAGUCGGUUAUCAUGGCGCGAUAACUAUUGUCAUUGACGGUCACGUUCUUACCAUUAUGAUUUUUGAAGAAAUAUGAAUCGAUGAUUCCACCGACCUACAAACCAAAACAAAUCGAUUUUCUUUCUGGAUGAAAUGACAGUUCUUGAAUCCAUUCAGGUUGCUCUUCGUCACAAAUGCGGCAACUUUGCUUGUUUACAUACUAAUUGAGCCAGAAAUGGGCCUCAUCGCUGAACACAAUUUGGAUUGAGAAAGUCGUAUCUUCUUGGAACUUUUCAGGAACGAAGGAGCGAAGCGAUGUCGCUUGGGAAAAUCGAGCGACUGCGCUAAGUCAUUCCACACGUCAGUCCGCGUAGCUGCGAACGGUGCAGAAUCGACUAUUCAUGGUCUUCGAAUACAUUUUCAGAUACGGAUGCUAUAAUCUCUUCGCGACGUGCUGGAUGUGGUCUGUUCGAUCGAAUAUUAUUCAAUAAUGAAUUCGUGCUCUCAAGAUAGGUGAUGGUGUUGCGAAUGGUAGGCUCAGUAGGCCGAUUGGACAUUAAUAAAACCGAGUUUUUACAUCGAUAUGUAACAACGGAUAAAACAUUUAUCCAGAAGGACCACAUAAUAAACGAUCACAUUUGAAAAAAAGGAGAGUGCUGUUUCCUUAAGUCAGUGUAAACGAUGGCAAAGAUCCACGAAUUCGGCUUUGUAUUGCUUCUGCAUUCAACGUAAUCGACAGGUCUGACCCUUAGAGACUAUUUCCUUUCCUCAGACCUCAAAAGAAUGCUCGCUGGGAAGAAACUUUCGUCGAAACUGAGCCCUACUUUGAAGCAACAGACAAAACAUUCUACAAGCAUGGUAUGAAACAAUUGUUCGGUCGGGGUCUUAUCAAUUGACCGUUAUGCAAAAUAUUCGUCAAACCGGAUCUGAAGUCGCUAAAUUUUCAAAAAUUUCUUUUUUGUUGGAACUUGUGGAACGGUCAGAAUAAUAUUUCAUUUCAACUGAACAGUUUUUGAAGAUAAACGGUAGAAGUUUACGUGGCGAAAUCUUGGCUGUAUUUGCUCUCUCCAAAUUUGACUAUGGCGAAAUCUUUCGUGUGUUUUCUUCGAAUUGUGUUUUAUCUCUCUGAUUUCCCGAAAUGUUACAAGCACUAUUUGGUGCUAUAAAGUUUACCAGAUAUUCUUUUUAUAUUUAUCUCUGAGUGUCUGCUAAGCCAAACUGAUGACCAUUAUUCGAAAUUGAAUCCGUUCAAUCGACAUGGCCAUUUCGACAUUAUGAACUUGUGGAACAGUAAAUUUUGCAAGAUAAAUGAGCAUAGAUAACUAUUCCUAUUCCUAUUAAACUGUGGAGCUUUUGCAGAUAAACGGAAAGAAUUUAUAUGCAGAAAUCUUUGCUAUAUUCGAGGGGAUCCAACUGUAUUAUCUGUAUCUGACUUUUGUCUCCCACCAAACCUUUUUUUACUGAUUCUACCCACAAUGGAGCUUGACUCGUGUCAAUCAAUUACAUAUUUGCCAUUAUGUCAGCCACAAGGUACGAGUAUAUAGUCGCAACGAAGCCGUCUCGUCUUGCGCUUCAGCAGCCCACAAGCUGCAAGCGGCCAACAAGCUCCAAACCCAAUCAAGUAAGGCCUUAUAAGCGCGCCAGCUUGUUUAAUUAAAAUUUAUCACAGCGUCCAAAAAUGGCAAAUAAAAGGCGGAAGGCGGAUGGCGGGUAGGGCAGCAGAUAAUUGCUCGAUAGAAGCGGCAAUAAAUAAAUAAAAAAUAUAAAAAAAAAUAUUUUUAAUAAGAUAUACAAUUAGUGCACGGCAGCGCGGAGCAGCAGCGCAAGCGGCUGUGAAUAAGCGUGUAGCACGGAAGCAGCCCAAGUGCAGGCGUAUUUUAUUAAUAAAAUUUGAAAUAUAAAAAAGCCGUAAAAAAUAUAGAAAAAUUAUUUAAUCGCCAAUGAAACUAGUGAUUACAUGUGACAGCAACGGAAAAGUGUCCGGGGGGUUACGGGCAGUUCAGCAACACGCUAGCAACAGCAACAGCGAAAAUUGCGCGGCGUGUGCCGCUGAAAAAUCACUUUUUUCGGAAAUGCCAAGCACACGUUUCCUUUGAUGAAUUUACUUUGUGGUUCUUUCUUGCUACUUGGCUACAAACACCGCUGGUGACACGUUGGACUGCGCUGCAACAAGUCAAAGUGACAGACACUCGCAGAUAUUUAUAUAAACCACAUAGACUAGCGCUUGUGUUGGCCCCCACGCUAGCGACUUUGACAGACUGCUGGACGUCAGCAAAUUGUGUCGAGCGAUUUUUUGAUGUGCGAUUCGCUUGCCAAACAACAACAACGACAAGUAUAUGGCAUAUACAAUAUAUGCUAGAAUAUUUUAGAGCAAAUGCUGUUGCAUAUUUAUGAAUAUGGGUUUGCG